This 271-nucleotide ribosomal RNA is filed under the name uncultured Anoxybacillus sp. RNAcentral's name for it is "partial 16S ribosomal RNA". It matches the Rfam family "Bacterial small subunit ribosomal RNA", at positions 1106 to 1367 of the family's 1533-position model. Lineage: Bacteria; Bacillati; Bacillota; Bacilli; Caryophanales; Anoxybacillaceae. The record is from RNAcentral.
CGACCUUAGUUGCCAGCAUUCAGUUGGGCACUCUAAGGUGACUGCCGGCUAAAAGUCGGAGGAAGGUGGGGAUGACGUCAAAUCAUCAUGCCCCUUAUGACCUGGGCUACACACGUGCUACAAUGGGCGGUACAAAGGGUCGCGAACCCGCGAGGGGGAGCCAAUCCCAAAAAGCCGCUCUCAGUUCGGAUUGCAGGCUGCAACUCGCCUGCAUGAAGCCGGAAUCGCUAGUAAUCGCGGAUCAGCAUGCCGCGUCGAAUCGUCCGGCCUU